GAGAGGCUAGCGUUGGAUGGUUUUAGGCGGGGUAGGGGUAGGCCGAAGAAGUACUGGGGCGAGGUGAUUAGGCGGGACAUGGAACAGUUACAGCUCACCGAGGACAUGACCCUAGAUAGGAAGGUCUGGAGGGCGCGAAUUUCGGCAGAGGAUUAGGGCCAGUUUGGGUCGCUAGUGUAGGAAAUUACUUGGUGGGGGUUUUAUUCCUGUUAUGAUUCCGUCUUCCGUGUUCCAUGUUUUAUUACGAAUCUGUGUGCUUUCCUCUGCUUUCCUCUGUUUUAUAUUACUUAUGGGUGCCGUAUUUAUGUUAUGUAAUCUGCUUCUGUGCUUUACUAUGUGUUUGUG
Molecule: long non-coding RNA, 345 nt
Filed under: Capsicum annuum
Lineage: Eukaryota; Viridiplantae; Streptophyta; Magnoliopsida; Solanales; Solanaceae
Description: long non-coding RNA (CANN_LNC022233)
Source: RNAcentral